GAUGAACGCUGGCGGCGUGCUUAACACAUGCAAGUCGAACGGAAAGGCUCCUGCUUGCAGGGGUACUCGAGUGGCGAACGGGUGAGUAACACGUGGGUGAUCUGCCCUGCACUUCGGGAUAAGCCUGGGAAACUGGGUCUAAUACCGGAUAGGACGAUGGUUUGGAUGCCAUUGUGGAAAGUUUUUUCGGUGUGGGAUGAGCUCGCGGCCUAUCAGCUUGUUGGUGGGGUAAUGGCCUACCAAGGCGUCGACGGGUAGCCGGCCUGAGAGGGUGUACGGCCACAUUGGGAUUGAGAUACGGCCCAGACUCCUACGGGAGGCAGCAGUGGGGAAUAUUGCACAAUGGGCGCAAGCCUGAUGCAGCGACGCCGCGUGGGGGAUGACGGCCUUCGGGUUGUAAACUCCUUUCGCUAGGGACGAAGCGCAAGUGACGGUACCUGGAGAAGAAGCACCGGCUAACUACGUG
This 466-nucleotide ribosomal RNA is filed under the name uncultured bacterium. Its description in RNAcentral is "partial 16S ribosomal RNA". It matches the Rfam family "Bacterial small subunit ribosomal RNA", at positions 28 to 507 of the family's 1533-position model. The record is from RNAcentral.